UGGGCUGGUCGAAAGACCCGGGUCCAACCUACUAGGCGGGGAAACUCCCC
RNAcentral lists this small RNA (50 nucleotides) under uncultured Treponema sp. RNAcentral's name for it is "DUF3800-XI RNA". It matches the Rfam family "DUF3800-XI RNA". From Rfam's summary of the family: Actinobacteria, Firmicutes, Proteobacteria, Spirochaetes (1 example). Nearby to DUF3800 Lineage: Bacteria; Pseudomonadati; Spirochaetota; Spirochaetia; Treponematales; Treponemataceae. The record is from RNAcentral.